RNAcentral lists this ribosomal RNA (433 nucleotides) under uncultured bacterium. RNAcentral's name for it is "partial 16S ribosomal RNA". It matches the Rfam family "Bacterial small subunit ribosomal RNA", at positions 29 to 507 of the family's 1533-position model. The record is from RNAcentral.
AACGAACGCUGGCGGCAUGCCUAACACAUGCAAGUCGAACGAUACCUUCGGGUCUAGUGGCGCACGGGUGCGUAACGCGUGGGAACCUGCCCUUAGGUUCGGAAUAACUCCCCGAAAGGGGUGCUAAUACCGGAUAAUGUCUUCGGACCAAAGAUUUAUCGCCUUUGGAUGGGCCCGCGUUGGAUUAGCUAGUUGGUAGGGUAAAAGCCUACCAAGGCGACGAUCCAUAGCUGGUCUGAGAGGAUGAUCAGCCACACUGGGACUGAGACACGGCCCAGACUCCUACGGGAGGCAGCAGUGGGGAAUAUUGGACAAUGGGCGAUAGCCUGAUCCAGCAAUGCCGCGUGAGUGAUGAAGGCCGUAGGGUUGUAAAGCUCUUUUACACGGGAUGAUAAUGACAGUACCGGGAGAAUAAGCACCGGCUAACUCCGUG